GACGAACGCUGGCGGCGUGCUUAACACAUGCAAGUCGAACGGAAAGGCCCUGCUUUUGUGGGGUGCUCGAGUGGCGAACGGGUGAGUAACACGUGAGUAACCUGCCCCUGACUUUGGGAUAACUUCAGGAAACUGGGGCUAAUACCGGAUAGGAGCUCCCGCUGCAUGGUGGGGGUUGGAAAGUUUCGGCGGUUGGGGAUGGACUCGCGGCUUAUCAGCCUGUUGGUGGGGUAGUGGCUUACCAAGGCUUUGACGGGUAGCCGGCCUGAGAGGGUGACCGGCCACAUUGGGACUGAGAUACGGCCCAGACUCCUACGGGAGGCAGCAGUGGGGAAUAUUGCACAAUGGGCGGAAGCCUGAUGCAGCAACGCCGCGUGCGGGAUGACGGCCUUCGGGUUGUAAACCGCUUUCGCCUGUGACGAAGCGUGAGUGACGGUAAUGGGUAAAGAAGCACCGGCUAACUACGUG
This 468-nucleotide ribosomal RNA is filed under the name uncultured bacterium. RNAcentral describes it as "partial 16S ribosomal RNA". It matches the Rfam family "Bacterial small subunit ribosomal RNA", at positions 28 to 507 of the family's 1533-position model. The record is from RNAcentral.